RNAcentral lists this long non-coding RNA (392 nucleotides) under Elaeis guineensis (African oil palm). RNAcentral describes it as "long non-coding RNA (EGUI_LNC046908)". Lineage: Eukaryota; Viridiplantae; Streptophyta; Magnoliopsida; Arecales; Arecaceae. The record is from RNAcentral.
UGGUUGUCCAUCGAAGAAAAAGGCAAUCAUCUCACCUCCUCCUCUUUCUUUCUCUGGUUUAUGUUCAUGGCUUCAUGUCAUUGUGUCUGCUAGAAAUUGGAGUCAAAGAUGUUGUCAGAGCUGAGGUAAAGCCCUAGCAUUUCUCCCCUUUGUUUCUUCCUCUUCCCAUGACCUUGAAAGACCCCUCACCGGCUUGUACUUGGCCAAAAAUCGAUCAAGUUCCACUUCUCUUGUUUUUCAGCCUUGAUUUUUUCCUUUUCCAGCCACUGACGUCACCACCCCUUGGUGCCAGAGUCCUGGUCGAAUAGUCUGAUGUCAAUCCUAGAAUUGAUUUUGAUGAUAUCAAAGGUGUUUGAGUACCAAUCAUAUUUGUUGAUAAUGGUUCUGAGAGU